Long non-coding RNA from Aethalodelphis obliquidens (Pacific white-sided dolphin), 2026 nucleotides. RefSeq lists it as uncharacterized. Lineage: Eukaryota; Metazoa; Chordata; Mammalia; Artiodactyla; Delphinidae. The transcript is spliced from 4 exons. The record is from RefSeq and is a predicted model, not a curated record.
UCUAGAUGGGUGAUAUUCUGUUCCAUUCACAGUUGUUUUCAUGAUGACAGUAGAGAUUUCUCUGCUGGAGGCCCUCUCUCUAGUAUUGAGUGAAGUCUACUCUUUCCACAGAUGUGUGAGUGGAGUUUCAGAGACUCAAAGAAAUAGUUGUAUCCUGCCCCUGCCCCCAGGCUGGGUCUUUAUGGAAGAGAACAAAGAUAUCCAUCUAGAAACAAGAUCCUUAGAGACAAGAAGCUCCUGGGUUCCUGAAAAUUUGCAAAAGUAGUGGAGAAGAAGCCUUGGAUGUCCACAGGUUGCACAGAUAUAGCAAGGCCUUGUGAGAUCGUAGAAGCCUCCAAUGGCAUAAAUGAAUGAAUGACUUCAACCACUUUGUGCUAACCAUGGUGCACGUGAUGACACACACCAUCUCGUUCGAAACUCAGCGCAGUCCCAGGAGGAAGAUAUCAUCAUUGUGAGCAAAUGGGUACCAGAUUUUGUGCCUGGCACCGGGAAUAAUGUCAGAAAGAAGAGGUGGUCCUUAACUUGCAAGGGGUUCAUAACGAUGGUGGCUGAGGAUCUGUGGGCUGUGCUCACAAAUUGCACAUCAGGCAGUUCUUCCAUCUGGCCGAUCCCAAGUUAAUGUUCAUGUAAUUCAUCAUUUUUAGAAGCUACCUCCCAACAUGUUGGGCCCAGCUCAACCAGUCACAGCUUUUUAUGAGACAUCAUUCAACUGUCUUAGCAUCUCAGAAGGAAGAACUCCACAAUUAUCUUUUAUGGAAAGACUUUGAACACACAUUUUGAAGUUGCAUGCCCAGGACUUUAUGUGCAGAAGAAUCAAGGUAUCGUAUUAACCAAUGUCCUUGGCAAGUCCCUAGGACUAAAUUUCAAGCUACAAGAUGUUUACUGUUCAUCUCAAAGGUCAGCUUUGACCGCAUUUAUUAAAUUGCAAACUUGCUUGUCUUUUGUCAUCAGAAGAUGGUAUGAAUUAAGGCUUUCUUGCUCUGGUCACAGUGCAGAUGAGAGCUGAAAAACAGCUAAAGGAAUUGAAGUGACCGAGAACAUUGAACCAAAAAAACAUAAUAAACACUCAUUGCUCUUGGGAGUCCCCACACUAUUUGAGACAACACAGAAAUGUACUAUUUUUUUAAAUAUAAGGUGGACUAAGUAUCAACCCCUUCCUUAAAAUAAAUAAAGCUGUAAGAAGAUAACCUCCCACACCACUGAGCUUGCCUCCUCCAGUUCCCACCAUCCCGAUCUGUUCUUAUCACUUUUGCAAUCAAACAGUUUCAAUGGGUUUUCACUGCCUUGGUUACCAAGUUCGAAUGCCUUAAAAGAUGUGCAAAGCCUCCAUCUAGCCCCAUCUCCUGCUAUUCUUCAAGCUCCCAUUUUAUCACCAAAUAAAUAAUGAGUUAAUUUUCUAUUACAUGCUAUGUAUCUAGUCACAAACCUAAGCUUUUUGCAAAUACUGCUUCUUUGGCCUGAAAUGACCUCCCCUACUUACCUAAAUAAUGGCAUCACCUUUCAUGAUUUAGCUUAAAUAUUGAAACUCUUGGGAAGGGUGAAUUUCAUGGUAAGUGAAUUAUAUUUUAAUAAACACCUUAUUCAAAUUGACAAAACCUUGAGAACUCUUUUCUAACAAAUUCUCCUCUCUUACCUAACUCUACCACACACAGAUACCUGCAAGCAGAUAUCAACACACACACACACGCGCGCGUGCGCGCACACACGAUACCAGGUUAGAGACCCAUACUUAUAUACCUUAUAUAAUAGCUUAUAUACCAUAGCUUAUAUACCUAUCUAUCUCCUGUAUUUAUGGAGUUACUUGUUUAUUUUCCAUCUAGAUUUGGGGUCUCCAAUAUGGUAGCCAUUAAUGACAUGAGGAUGUUGAGCACUUGAAAUGUGGUUCAAACUGAGAUGUCCUGGAAAGGUAACAAUCACACAGUACAGAGUCUUGUUAUAAAAAGAAAUUGUAAAAUGUCUUAUUCAUAACUGUGUAAUGAUUACAUGUUGAAAUUAAAAUAUUGUGGAUACAUUGGUCAAAUAAAAA